UGGCUGAUGCCUGCUGGGGGGGGAACGGUCCGCUUGGCCUUGUACCCGCCUUCGCUUGUGGAGGCUGCGUGAGAUGGCUUUGUCCCAAUCUUAGAAGUUAACUGAUGUGAAGAUGUUGGAAAUCUUAACAACUCCUGACGACGGAUCUCUCGGUUCCCACACCGAUGAAGAACGUGGCUAAAUGCGAUAAGUGAUGUGAAUUGCAGAACGCUCAGUGAAUCAUCGAAUUUUUGAACGCACCUUGCGCUCCCUGGUACUCUGGGGAGCAUGCCCGUUUGAGUGUCGUGUGCCUCUUCACCGGAGCCGCUGUGACUCGUUCACUCUGGCUUGCAGGUGGUGGUGGGAUCGCCGGCCCCUUUUGGGGUGUCGGCCUUCUUGAAAUCGAUCAGCGAUGCCCAGUUCCCAAGACCUCAGGCCUGCGGGUGUUAACUUUUAAACCUGCUGCCUUUGGACUGAAGGACGUGUGUGGCCUUGUCGCUCUCCAACCGUCCUUUGGGACAACACCUUU
RNAcentral lists this ribosomal RNA (508 nucleotides) under Hyphoderma orphanellum. Its description in RNAcentral is "eukaryotic LSU rRNA". The stretch from base 130 to 285 matches the Rfam family "5.8S ribosomal RNA". Lineage: Eukaryota; Fungi; Basidiomycota; Agaricomycetes; Polyporales; Hyphodermataceae. The record is from RNAcentral.